This 9278-nucleotide long non-coding RNA is filed under the name Nicotiana tabacum (common tobacco). RNAcentral describes it as "long non-coding RNA (NTAB_LNC013282)". The record is from RNAcentral. Lineage: Eukaryota; Viridiplantae; Streptophyta; Magnoliopsida; Solanales; Solanaceae.
ACACAAUAAUGAAUUAAUAGAACAUGACUACUACAACAUCAAAUCCUUUCAAUUAUAAGCAACACAUAUAGUUUUCCAACUGAAUGAUAGGUAUAAAGGUUCAACUACAUCACAGUUAACCACAUAGUUCUAUUAGGGAAAGUAAACUAUCAUGUAGGAAACCUAUUGUUUCAAUACAUUUUCUAAAGCUAAUUCGAAAUAACUUCAACUCUUCCAACUUUCUUUAUAUUCAUGCCUCAAAUUUCAGCUUACAUUGACAGUGUAUCAGUCGUGUACCUGGUAUAGGAAAGCAAAAGAAGAAGGAGAAUGAUCAGCAGAACAGUAAACAACAACACAGCAAUAGCAACAACAGGGACAGCCCAAUAAUAGACCAAAACUCAGCAGCAAACUUAGAAGAAAAUCCAGCAACAAUUUUAGACCAACCCAAACAGCAACAAUCCAAAGAAACCAAUAGGAAUAACCAGUAGCGACAGAUUCUUAAAACCAAAGCAGAAUCCCAGGAGUAGCCUAAUGGAACAGUAUUCAGCAAAUAGAAAACUGGAUACUGCCAAGCUGGAAAUCCAGUAGUACCAAACAGCACACAGACAGGUGCAAGAAGCAGUGAUUUCUGAUUUUUCGUUACACACUCAAAGGCAAAGACAAGUUGAAGCUCUUUGAUGUAAAGCCUAACCUAGAAUGAGGAUCAAAAACCUUAACACUUUUGUUCCUUUUUUUCUUUUCUGAAGUCUUAGUUUUCAACCUUAAUUUCUGAUUUUUUUUCUAACCUCUCACCCUCUUAUGCCUAACUCUUGAAACCUGAUCUCUAACCCCCUUUCUUCUCCUCAAAUGAGCCUAUUUAUAGGCUAAAUACAAGCCAGCCCCAGGCUGCCUCGUUUCCCCCCAGCCCUCAACUCUACUCAUACCCCUUUAUUCCCCAUUAACAUGUGUUUUGUGCCCCAAUGGUAUGGGCAGCUGACAGUCUUUUAAUUAACCCCAUGCUAUCAAGUUUGGUUCCCCACUAUUGUAUUAGUUUAAUCCUAUUCCAGUACCCUAUUGUCAGCUCACUUAAACUAAUAAUUUCUGCUCUUUUUACACCCCCAAACUACCCCUGUUAGCCCCCAGUUAUUACUAUUUUACCCUGAGCUUCAGCAGUCUGAAAUUUAAACUUCUGAAAGUUCAAACUUAAGCUAUCCUAAACUGAGUUCCAGCUAUUGUACUGCAGCUACAAAUCAUUCACAGAUAGAUUAAAACAAACAGCUAAACGACAAUGGUUCGAUCAGUCAUAUGAAGCUUAUACGAAUCAGAAUAUUUGAUCAUUCAAUCCUAUAAAACUAAUCGACGACGUUUAUCUAAUCGACUAUACUAAUUAUGACAUAGAAUAAUCAGUCGAUCAAACAAACAACACGAGCGGGGCAUCAACUGCCUUCAACAACUUUGCCCGACACAGGGAAUCUAUAUGAAUUAUCUAUUCGACGACAUUAAUCAACUCGAACAUGUAUAUCACCAUACGUAUUCAAACAUAAACAGAAACAAUCGACCAAAUAAAAGGUCUUACGAAGAUGGAGAAUAAAUGGAAAGAAAAUAUUAGAAAUAACAAACAAAUUGACUAAACAUGCUGACAAACUAAAACAACAUUUAAACAAAAAGAGAAAAGAAAAAGGAAAACUCACUGUGGAAACUCAAACAUGAACGAACCAGGCCUGAGCUGGAUUUGAACAUUUGAGGUCGAACAGACUUUAAUCGAGGUGUUCUCAACCGAGAACACUUCGAUUAAGGUCUAUUAGACCCCAACCUUAUGUUAAAACUGGUCAGAUUCCCAAAAUUCUUGUGUUCUAGGGUUCGAAUAGUCCGAUUUAGGGUUUGAGUAUUUGUGGGUAGAUUCGGACCAAACCAAGCUUGGUUUGGUCACGAGUGAGGCCAGAGUAGUGACUGGUGUGAAACUGGGGUGGGUUGGUGUAGAUCAGGGUUGGGCUCGAAUCUUAAAACUAAGAUUCGAGACGAUGGGGGAUGAUUCGAAGCAAGGGGGUAACAGAUCCGUGUUCAGGGUGGUUGGGUGCAUUAGGGGUGUUACUUUGGUGGUCAUCGGCAUCGUUGCCGCCGGGUUUAUGGUGAGAGCGUAUGGGGGAGGCUAGGGUUUGGAAGGGGUUCGUCUCUUGAGAGACGACGAUGAACAGGAGGUGAGGGGGUGUGGUUUGGAUAGGGGGUGUGGGGUGUGAUGGAGGGCUUAUAUACGGAGGGGGAAAAUGGAUCCUGGCCGUUGGAUGAAGUGAGAUCGAUGGCUAGGAUCUUUCACUUAAUGGGGAAUGGCACCGUUUGGCAUUGGUUGGGGGUCGGUUAGAAUCGGUUACUGGGUCGGGUUUGGAAACGGGUUGCUGAAAGGGGUCUUGGACCGCUGGAUUAGAUUGGGCUAACGGUUGAGAUUAGACGGCCCUAUACGGCGUCGUUUGGGUAAGUGAAUGGCCUGAUCUGGGUUGUUCCUUUAAAUCAAUCAAUGGCUCAAAAUGGGCAUGCCAAUAUGGCGUCGUUGGGGGCGUCUCUUAGAAGACCUGGUUUGGACUGGGUCGUUACAAAUUGGUUUGGGCCUGAUUUUUAAUUAAAUUUUGGCCCAAAUCCGGUCUUUCCUUCUUAUAAUUAAACUAAAAAUUCCCAAAACCCAAAAAUUAAACUAGACAAAUAUUAAUUGAUACCUAACAAUAGUUAUCACAUGAAUUAAAGCAUUUAAUAAAAUUAACAUGACAACAAAAAUAAAAUAAAAUGCCUAUUUUUGUGAUUUUCGCUUUUAAAAACCAAAUAAUGGUUAAUUAAUUCCCAAAUGUAUCAUUUUCCUUAAAUGCAUGCAACAUGAUCAAUUAUCAAAAUGUCAUGCAAAUUCUCAAAAUUGUACCCGAAGGUAGCUCUUUUACUUUUGAAUUUCCUUUUGGAGUAGUUUCUGUAAAGCAAAAAUCACGUGCUCACACAAACUAUGUGAAAUCCUCUAUGUAUAAAGGUGAUUAAAAUAAAUCAAAUGACAUUGGGAAAUAGAGAUUGGCCAAUGUGCUGGGAAUGUGAAUUAUAAUUGUACCUGGGAUGCCUAUGACAUGAAAAAUUAUGAAACAGAUUAUGAAAUGAGUCUCGACUCUGCUUUCCAUAAAUGACUUCAAUAAUAAAGUGUCGUGAAGGCUUUGUACACAAUUUAUGCCAUAAGUUGUUGUUCGAGAUAAUGUUUUGCUUUAUAAGUACAUCCAAUGUGAUCCGAGUUGUUACAUACUCCAAUGUUGAAAUUGUAUAUUGUCAUGAUUGGAAAAGAAUAAUUCAAGAACAAUUGGUGUAGUGCCUCUUUAUGCCUUUGAUGUGUGUUUCAUUGUGGUUUGGUGUGUCCCCUCCUUUUUGGAAGAAUCCGUUGGGUUUAAAGUUCCAUUGUUAAUAAACCUGAGGUGUAUGAUUUUUGAAAUAUUGUAUAUGCCCAUGAUUCAUGAUUCCUCUCAUGUGUACUUACAUCUUGGAUUGAAUGGCUUGUUGUUGAAAUUGAUAUCGAUGUGAAACAAGUGAAAUAUGAAAUACGGCCACCGUGCCAGGAACAAAGAAUCUUGUGAAUGGCCAAAUGAGCCAAGGAAAUACUGUUGUUGUUGGUGACUGGAAAUACUAAUUGGAAUCUAUAAAAUAUGAAANNNNNNNNNNNNNNNNNNNNNNNNNNNNNNNNNNNNNNNNNNNNNNNNNNNNNNNNNNNNNNNNNNNNNNNNNNNNNNNNNNNNNNNNNNNNNNNNNNNNNNNNNNNNNNNNNNNNNNNNNNNNNNNNNNNNNNNNNNNNNNNNNNNNNNNNNNNNNNNNNNNNNNNNNNNNNNNNNNNNNNNNUAUGGACGGGCUAUGAAACGCAUAGGGGUAUAAUAUAAUAUGUGGACCCUAUGGACGGGCUAUGAAAUGCAUAGGGGUAUAGUAUAAUAUGUGGACCCUAUGGACGGGCUAUGAAACGCAUAGGGGUAUAAUAUAAUAUGUGGACCCUAUAGACGGGCUAUGAAACGCAUAUGGGUAUAGUAUAAUAUGUGGACCCUAUGGACGAGCUAUGAAAUGCAUAUGAGUAUAAUAUGAUAUGUGAACCCUAUGGACGGGCUAUGAAAUCCAACCUAGAGGUAUGGAAAUUAUGUGAAAGUUAUGUGAUCCCUUUUAUUUGAUUGUGUGGUGAUUGUUUAAAACUUUUGUUAAAUCCUUAUGAUUUCCUUGUCCUUGUAUGAUAGUUCUUUCUAAUAAGAUGGUAUUUAGUUAUACAUACUAGUGUUAUUCGAUGGCACUAACGUCCCUUUUGCUGGGGGUGUUAUGUCUUUAAAUGGAUGUAGGUGUUUCUAUGGUAGGUCGUGUUGGUCGCAGCUAGUGCCGCAUCAUCCUUUCAGCUGACUUGGUGAGCCCCACUUCAUUUCGGGGUCCUGUACCGUUGUUUAUCAUGUACUUUAUAUUUUGAGUUAUAGCCGGAGCCUUGUUGCCGACAUUUCCAUAUUACUCAUCGGUUGUAUUUAGAGGCUCCGUAGAUAGGUUAUGGGUGUUGUUUAGUAUCUGGAAUUAAAUUGGAAAUAUUGGUAUUUGGCAAAUAUGUCUUCCUUCAUAUCUAUGAAAAUUGUCAUAUUUUGGAUACUAUGAUUUAAGUUGCUAAUGGAAAUGAAAUGGAAGUUGUUAAUGAAAUACUUAUUAAGUAUGAUUAAUGGAGUCCAUCUCCUAUUUAUUCAUGAAUCAGUUUGGGUAGAAUGAAACCUAACAGUCUUGCUCAGUCGGGUUUACUCGGUUGAGCGCCGGUCGUGUUCCAAGGUUUUUGGGGCGUGACAAAAUGAUGAAGAACAAGCAAAGAACAAUAAAAUGCUAGGGAGACCUCGGGGUCGAAGAACACUGAUAACUUGGAAGAAAAAGGAGAGAGAGAGAGAGAGAGAUAUAUAUUAUUGCUUAUUGGAGGAGUGGAGCAACAUCAUUCCUUUACAAAGUGGGAUGGGUCCCCCUUAUAUAGGCGAGUGAACUCGAUAUAGUACAUGUAUAUUAAUUGUAAAAGUACAAAGAUGGGACGUCUUGACGCAUGACCUCACAGUAGGCUCCAGAUAGGCCGGAUCUGUCAGGUGUAGCCAUGUGCCCAGGGGACUUCCUCUUUUAUCCCGGCCUGGGGCCUUGCAUCCAUCGAGCUAGACCUCGAUGAGCCCUGAGACCGAGAAAUUGAUCGUGGCUUUCCACCCUCGAGGUCUCGGGGAAGGCUCCCAAAAUCUCUUGAAUAGCAAAAAAUCAAGUUUUCUGAGUUUGCCGCGUAUAAGAAGAUUUUUGAAUGUUUGGCUUGAAUCCAAUGUUUUUUGGGUGAUUUGAUUUUGUUUGAGGUAUUUUGAUGAUUUGAAAAAGUUUAAAUAAGGUAGUAGGAUAUGUUUGUGCUUUUGGUUGAGGUCCCGGGGGCCUCGAGGUGAUUUCAGAUGGUUGACGGAGAAGUUGGAUUUUUGUUGCAGCUGCUGAAUUUGUUGCUUCUGGUAUUUUCGCACCUGCGAAUUGGGGACCGCAGGUGCAACGCCGCACGUGCGGUAGAGGAGCUGCAAAAGAGGAUUUUUUGGGAAAUUUCCAGAAACCGCAGAUGCGGUGUGGUACUGCACCUGUGAAGUCGCAGGUUGGAAGGCUGAGCGUAGAAGCGGCUUGGGCUUUUAAGUGAAGAAUCGUAGAAGCGGUGAUUUGGCUGCAUAUGUGGUACCACAGAAGCGGUUAUGGAUUAGAGCUAGAAAUUUAGGAAAUUAAGAGUGAAAUUUUGGGAUACCUAGGGUUGGUAUUGGAGACCUAUGAUUGGGGAUUUGAUGGACCAUUUGAGGUCGGAUUUCUGAAAUUUUUGAUAUGUAUGAACUCGUGGGGAGAUAAGGAAUCAAUUAAUGUGAAAAUUAUUAAAUUCCGAGAUGUGGGGCCGGGGAUCUGUUUUUGGUAAUUUCGGGAUUUGUGUCAAUUAUUGAUUGUUUUUGCUUGGGCUUCGUUCCCUUAGCAUAUUUUGACAUCCUAGUUCUAAUUUUGGAUAUAUUCAACGUGAGUGGAGGCCGAUUCGAGGGGCAAAGGCAUCGCGAGCUAGAGAUUUGACUAGUUCGAGGUGAGUAAUGAUUGUAAAUGAUGGUCUGAGGGUUUGAAACCCCGGAUUGCAUAUCGUAGUGCAAUAUUGAGGUGAGGCACACACUUGAUGACGAGCGUGGGCCCGUCCACUAUUGGGGAUUGUGACUUGGUCCGUCCCGAUUGAUGAUUUUACCGCGUAUUUGACUGAAAUCUAUUUGUUAUCAUCAUUAUUUUGGUUGAAUGCCAUAUUUGGGCUUCGUGCCAACUAUUUGAACCCCUCGGGGAUUUUUAAUAAUAUUUCCUCACUGUUUUGACUUUAUGCUUGAACUCAGUCAUGCUAUUUUCCACUAUUUUCAUACUCAGCAAUGUUUGCUUGGUUUUUAAUACUUAAAUGAUGUUUUGUGCUAAGAAACACGGUUUUACUUUUGCCUGAGUGGCUUGUCAGGAUUUUUAACUGAGUAAGGACGAGAGGGCCUAUAUUGUGAGGAAACAAUGAUAUUGAUUUGAGGCCGAGGGCUUGAGAUAUGUACGCCAUGAGGCGGCUUGAUUGAUAUGAGGUCGAGCGCCUAGUGAUGAUGCCACGAGAUGGCUUGAUAUUGCGCUUGGACCGUAAGGGGCCCCUCUACAAGUCUGCACACCCACAGUGUAACGACCCGACCAGUCAUUUUGAGAUCUAGCGCACCGUUCAGUAGUCUAAGGCCAUGAGUAGCUUCAUUUCAGGAAUUAUGACCUGCACGCGUGGUUAGAAUUGAACUUCGGGGAGUUUGGAGUUGAUUUGGAAAGAGAAUUCUCGUUUCGGAAGCUUAAAGAUGAAAGAAGUAGCUAAGAUCAGAUUUCUGAGUAAACAACCUCAGAAUUAGGAUUCGAAGGUUCCAUCAGGUUCGUAUGAUGAUUUCAUACUUGGGUGUAUGUCCGGGUUGGAUUUUAGAUGACCCGGGAGAGUUUUGGCGCAUAUUGUGGAAGUUAGCAUUUUGGAAGAAAUUUUAUAAGUUUGGGUUGAAGAGCAUUUCAGUGUUAUGGAUGUCUGUUUGGGAUUCCAAGUUUGGGAGUAGCUCUGUAUGGUGAUUCCAGAGUUGGGAGUGCGAUCGGAAGUGAAUUCGGAGGUCUGUGGGUCAUUUUGGAGUCAUUUGGCUAAAGAUAGAAAUUUGAAGGUUUUUGAAAAGUUUGACCGGAAGUGGACUUUUUGAUAUCGGGGUCGUAAUCCAAUUCCAAAAGUUGGAGUAGGUCUGUAAUGUCGAAUAUGACUUGUGAGCAAAAUUUGAAGUCAAUCGGACGUGAUUUGAUAGGUUUAAGCAUGGAAAGUAGAAGUUUGAAACCUUGAAGUUCAUAAAGCUUGGAUUGGAGGCCGAUUCAUGAUUUUACUAUUAUUUGAUGCGAUUUGAGGCCUCGAGCAAGUCCGUCAUGUAUUUUGGGACCGGUUGGUAUGAUUGGUUGGGGUCCCGGGGGCCUUGGGUGGAUUCCGGGUGGUUAAUGAAUUGAAUUUGGAAAUUUUGGGGAGGCUGAAGUUGUUGGUUGCUGUCAUAACCGCACCUUCGGUUCCUAAACCGCAGAAGCGAUCCAUCUAUCGCAGAAUUCGCCCAAGGCCAGGCAGCCUAAGACCGCAGAUGCGGCCAUAAAUCCGCAUAAACGAAAUCGCAGAAGCGGUGGGCCUGUCCGUAGAAGUGGCCCAGACCGCAGAAGCAGUGGUCACAGGUGCGGCCCAGGACCGCACAGGCAGAAAUCGCAAAAGGCAGUGACCUUCAUUUCUUCCUAGCAUUAUGAGUUAAGUUAUUUCCAAUUAAUAUGAGUUUAAUACUUGAGUUUUGGGUAGAUUAACACAUAAAAAAAUUGUGAAAAUCAUGAGAAUAGGGUAAAACCUAGGGUUUUGCUAAAAACGAGAUUCAACCACGAAAUUUGCUAUGGAAUGAAGUAAAAAUCAUAUAUUUGUGAUCCUUAGGUUAUAUAGAAAAACUUUCUUUGAAGAAUUUCGGAAUCAGGACACGUGGGCCCGGGGUCAAGUUUUAGGAAACUUGUGUUUAAGGUUGGAAAAUUGCUUAAAUAGUUAGAAUGCGAUCUUGUGAGCUUGUAUUGACUAGUUAUUACCUAGUUUAUCUAGUUUUGGAUUGUUCGGCUCCAAAUUGAGAGUUUGGUCUCGUUCUUGGUAUUGGAAGUAUGCUUUGGAGCGAGGUGAGUCUCCUUUCUAACCUUGUAAGAGGUAAUUAUUCACAUGGGUGAUAUAAUUUAUUAUGUGCUUCUAUUUGUGGGAGCUACGUACGCAUGAGGUGACGAGAGUUCGUGCGUAGCUACUAAUAUAUGUAAGUCUGGAUAGUCUAGGACCCAAAAGCAUACUAUACUUGGAAUAUCUGUGAUCAUAUUGAUAGUUGAAUUUCUUAAAUUCUAUCGAAUUGGUAAAUAAAUUUCUAAGAGGGUUAACUUUCUUAGAUUUUUCAAUGAUACACUUCUUUCGAUUUGGUACAUGCAAGCGAGGAGUUCUUCCAACAAGGUGAGUUAUGGCGUAUGCAACCAGGCAUGAGUUUGAUGCCUUUCAAGUAACAUAUCAUGUGCUUGAACGUGUCCAUGUAUAAUACAGAUAAUAGAAAUAAUCUUGGAUAGAGAAACACACUCCACACUAUUUGUAGAGACUGUAUUUUCCAACUACCCCUUCUAGGAAUGGCAGGCGGCGCGGGUGCGGGUGCGGGGCAGCACAAUUUCAACCUGCCCGCCCCACAUAUGAUUUAAACUCGCGUACACCCGCCCGCCCCGCCCCGCAAAAUGUUUUUUUAAAAAAAAUCUCUUUUUUUUGGUUUUUUUUUUGCAGUAGUUGUAUUAUAUAAAGACGCCACAAACAUCUACACAACAUCUGAAAUUUGCCACUUAAAUUUUGCAUUAAGAUACACUCAGUAUAAUUUGGUACUGUUUAUUAGUUCAAUAGUAGCCUAUAAAAUAAAACCGCUUACAACUUGAUUUCAAGAAUAUAUUACAGCUUCAAUACAAAUAGGAUAAAUAAUUAUUGGGAUUGGAAUUGAGAAUUUUACCAUAUAGCUCCAAGAAUUUCUCAGACUUGCGUGCCAUUGCAGAGAGAAACUGAACAACUACACUUGUGAUUGUGUUUGUAUUUUUAUCGGUCCAAAAAGUAAAAUCCCCAACCCGCGACCCGCCCCGCAUAAUUUUUUUAUUUAAAAACUGAACCAGCCCCGCCCCGCCCCGCAACCGCAAACACCCAAACCCGCACCGCCCCGCUAACACUCAAACCCGCACCGACCCAUUGUCAUCCCUAACCCCUUCCAAUAUCCAGUACA